Molecule: ribosomal RNA, 235 nt
Filed under: uncultured bacterium
Lineage: Bacteria
Description: partial 16S ribosomal RNA
Rfam family: Bacterial small subunit ribosomal RNA
Source: RNAcentral
ACUGCCUCGGGAUAACGGGGAGGAAGGUGGGGAUGACGUCAAGUCCGCAUGCUCCUUACGUCUAGGGCUACACACGUCCUACAAUGGGGUCGACAAUGGGAUGCAAUAUCGCAAGAUGGAGCCAAUCCCCAAACGGCCUCUCAGUUCGGAUUGUAGUCUGCAACUCGACUACAUGAAGUUGGAAUCGCUAGUAAUGGCAGAUCAGCAUGCUGCCGUGAAUACGUUCCCGGGUCUU